This 508-nucleotide ribosomal RNA is filed under the name uncultured bacterium. RNAcentral's name for it is "partial 16S ribosomal RNA". It matches the Rfam family "Bacterial small subunit ribosomal RNA", at positions 30 to 523 of the family's 1533-position model. The record is from RNAcentral.
AUUGAACGCUGGCGGCAUGCCUUACACAUGCAAGUCGAACGGCAGCGGGGGAGAAGCUUGCUUUUCCUGCCGGCGAGUGGCGAACGGGUGAGUAAUACAUCGGAACGUGCCCUGUAGUGGGGGAUAACUAGUCGAAAGAUUAGCUAAUACCGCAUACGACCUGAGGGUGAAAGUGGGAGACCGCAAGGCCUCAUGCUAUAGGAGCGGCCGAUGUCUGAUUAGCUAGUUGGUGGGGUAAAGGCCUACCAAGGCGACGAUCAGUAGCUGGUCUGAGAGUACGAGCCGCCACACUGGGACUGAGACACGGCCCAGACUCCUACGGGAGGCAGCAGUGGGGAAUUUUGGACACUGGGCGAAAGCCUGAUCCAGCAAUGCCGCGUGUGUGAAGAAGGCCUUCGGGUUGUAAAGCACUUUUGUCCGGAAAGAAAUGGCUCUGGUUAAUACCUGGGGUCGAUGACGGUACCGGAAGAAUAAGGACCGGCUAACUACGUGCCAGCCGCCGCGGUAA